UGACAGGUGCUGCAUGGCUGUCGUCAGCUCGUGUCGUGAGAUGUUGGGUUAAGUCCCGCAACGAGCGCAACCCUUGUCUUAAUUGCCAUCAUUUAGUUGGGCACUUUAAGAGACUGCCGGUGUUAAGCCGGAGGAAGUGGGGAUGACGUCAAGUCCUCAUGGCCUUUAUGCCCAGGGCUACACACGUGCUACAAUGGGCGGUACAAAGAGAAGCAACCUCGCGAGGGUGAGCAAAUCUCAAAAAGCCGUUCUCAGUUCGGAUUGAAGUCUGCAACUCGACUUCAUGAAGUCGGAAUCGCUAGUAAUCGCGGAUCAGCAUGCCCGCGGUCGAAUACGUUCCCGGGCCUU
Molecule: ribosomal RNA, 348 nt
Filed under: uncultured Syntrophaceae bacterium
Lineage: Bacteria; Pseudomonadati; Thermodesulfobacteriota; Syntrophia; Syntrophales; Syntrophaceae
Description: bacterial SSU rRNA
Rfam family: Bacterial small subunit ribosomal RNA
Source: RNAcentral